AGCAGUGUUAAGGCCAUCACAUAUAAAAUUCCGUAAGAACGUAAGACGUAAACUUAAGAUGUAAAACGUAAAGUCCAUGACACACAGUUAGCGUAAAACAUAAAAGUCAGCCAAUGGAAAAUGCAGAAAGAUUCCUUUGCAUUUCGUAAAGUUUAACCUGAAAUGUCAACGUUAGUACCAUUCCACCAAACAGUCAUUUAUUGAAGGAAUUUGUUGAACACUGGCAAAUGACAGAAGAGGAUAUAUUAUUUACAGGACUAUUGAUUGCGACUAUGGGUUUGAUAGCAUUACGGAGGAAAAAAUCUGGAAAGUGGUUGAAUCGUCAAUGGUAGAUCCGACCUAUUAAUCGUAGGCAUCCUGAUGGGAGAUUACUGAUGGGAGACCUACUUCAAGAAAUAAAAGAUGACUCACAAAUGUUCUUCCGAUAUACAAGGAUAACACUUCCAAUUUUUAAUAAGUUAUUAGAAAAAAUGAGACUGUUCUUAACUAAGAAGAGUCAGAGCUUUGACAGUGGAAGAACGUUUUACUAUAACACUUAGAUAUCUUGCAACGGGAGAUCAAGUAUUAUCAAUCGCUUUUGCUUACCGCAUAGGGGAGUCAACAG
This is a long non-coding RNA of Harpegnathos saltator (Jerdon's jumping ant), 604 nucleotides long. RefSeq lists it as uncharacterized. The record is from RefSeq and is a predicted model, not a curated record. The transcript is spliced from 3 exons. NCBI's taxonomy places the organism in Eukaryota, Metazoa, Arthropoda, Insecta, Hymenoptera, Formicidae.